AUUCCAGCUCCAAUAGCGUAUAUUAAUGUUGUUGCAGUUAAAAAGCUCGUAGUUGGAUUUCUGGUGGGAGCGGCCGGUCCGCCGUAAGGUGUGUACUUGGUUGUCUCCUGUCAUCCUUGUGGGAACUGCUCUGGCAUUAAGUUGUCGGGGUUAGGGAACACAUCGUUUACUGUGAAAAAAUUAGAGUGUUUAAAGCAGGCUUAUGCCGUUGAAUACAUUAGCAUGGAAUAAUAAGAUAGGGCUUUGGCGUCUAUUUUGUUGGUUUGCACACCAAGGUAAUGAUUAAUAGGGAUAGUUGGGGGCGUUAGUAUUUAUUAGCUAGAGGUGGAAUUCUCUAAUUUGAUAAAGACUAACUUAUGCGAAAGCAUUUGCCAAGGAUGUUUUCAUUA
This 389-nucleotide ribosomal RNA is filed under the name Stramenopiles sp. MAST-1C. RNAcentral's name for it is "partial small subunit ribosomal RNA". It matches the Rfam family "Eukaryotic small subunit ribosomal RNA", at positions 582 to 975 of the family's 1831-position model. The record is from RNAcentral.